CCUGUGAAGAGUCAUAUCAAAUGGAAGUAGCUUAUGCAAAACCAGACUUGUUGAAGCAGGAA
RNAcentral lists this non-coding RNA (62 nucleotides) under unclassified sequences. Its description in RNAcentral is "RAGATH-18 RNA". It matches the Rfam family "RAGATH-18 RNA". Rfam says of the family: Actinobacteria, Firmicutes, Fusobacteria, Thermotogae (1 example). Nearby to self-cleaving ribozyme genes The record is from Rfam by way of RNAcentral.